This 759-nucleotide long non-coding RNA is filed under the name Olea europaea subsp. europaea. Lineage: Eukaryota; Viridiplantae; Streptophyta; Magnoliopsida; Lamiales; Oleaceae. The record is from RNAcentral.
AUAUUUUGUGAGGAGUAAGGAGAGGAAGAUUUUGGCUGCUACUACAACUACUAUUCAUAUCAACAAUGACUUCCGCAAGUAUGAAUUCGUUUCUAUUAAUUUAUUAUAUGGUGAUUCUUGAUUCUUGGCAUGAUUACAAAUAAAUUUCAACAAUUGGUAUCAGAGCCUUCAUGCUAAGAUCAAAAUCCCUAAAUGAAAUAAUAUUCUGUCUCGUUUUUUCUACUAGAAUAAUCAAAAGUUAGAUUUUCAUAUGUUAUUAUUUUCUGGCAAUUUGCGGGAGUUAAUUCUUAUCCUCCUCAUCAACAACUUGAUUCUAUAUACACGCAUUACACUGUUUAGCACUUGCACAUCAAUUCCCUUUUGGUUUAAAAUUGGCACAGCAAAACCCCGACUGCGCCGCCAUCACCAUGUGACCCCUACACCCAUGUAUUUUUAUUUAUUUAUUUAUUUUUCUUCUUUCCCAUUCUCCAGUAACUUUGAACAUUCCCACUGCUUGAAGGUUCUAGCCCGUUAAUGGCGAUGAAACACUUAUCCAAAUUUCUCUCCCCUUCCAUACCCAGUUAAAAAUCAGAGGUCCAAAACUCUACGUUACUCUGCAACUGUAAAUAAAUAAUCAACUUGGGCGAUAAAGAAGAGUUUUCACCAAUUCCUUUUUCAUUUUUUUUUUCACGCUCGUGGUUUCUUGAUUAUACAUUCAGAAACCGAAACCCAAUCCCUAUGUGGAGUGAUAAUUAAUUUGAGGGUUUUCUUUAAUUUCUC